This is a regulatory RNA element of Marinilactibacillus sp. 15R, 74 nucleotides long. It matches the Rfam family "L17 ribosomal protein downstream element". Lineage: Bacteria; Bacillati; Bacillota; Bacilli; Lactobacillales; Carnobacteriaceae. The record is from Rfam.
UGAGCGUUAUGAUGAUGGAAUUUUUUCCAAGUGUCUAGCUCAAGUCUCUCCUAAAAGGCGUUUUGCCUUUUAGG